RNAcentral lists this long non-coding RNA (224 nucleotides) under Vigna radiata. RNAcentral's name for it is "long non-coding RNA (VRAD_LNC018182)". The record is from RNAcentral. Lineage: Eukaryota; Viridiplantae; Streptophyta; Magnoliopsida; Fabales; Fabaceae.
GGAGAUCAUGGUUUUAGGAUUAGAAGGAGAUACCCUUGGUCUAUAAAUAGAGGUGUCUCCACCCGUGUAUUUCAUCUUGGAAUUAAGUAAUGUUAUGCUUCCAAAAUAUGGCCAUACUCUUCCUUGAUCAAGACUUGAACAACCUUAGAGGCCCUUCUAGUCACCUUACUCCUUGAGUUGGCCUAUCCUCUCUUGGAGCCACCAAACACUACACCACCACCACC